GGGAAUCUUCCACAAUGGGCGAAAGCCUGAUGGAGCAAUGCCGCGUGAAUGAAGAAGGCCUUCGGAUCGUAAAGUUCUGUUAUUAGAGAAGAACAAGUCAAGGAGUAACUGUCUUGACUUUGACGGUACCUAACCAGAAUGUCACGGCUAACUACGUGCCAGCAGCCGCGGUAAUACGUAGGUGACAAGCGUUGUCCGGAAUUAUUGGGCGUAAAGGGAGCGCAGGCGGUUGGAAUAGUCUGAUGUGAAAGCCCACGGCUUAACCGUGGAAUUGCAUUGGAAACUGUCCAACUUGAAUGCAGAAGAGGAAAGCGGAAUUCCAUGUGUAGCGGUGAAAUGCGUAGAUAUAUGGAGGAACACCAGUGGCGAAGGCGGCUUUCUGGUCUGUGAUUGACGCUGAGGCUCGAAAGCGUGGGGAGCGAACAGG
This 427-nucleotide ribosomal RNA is filed under the name uncultured bacterium. RNAcentral describes it as "bacterial SSU rRNA". It matches the Rfam family "Bacterial small subunit ribosomal RNA", at positions 357 to 776 of the family's 1533-position model. The record is from RNAcentral.